Molecule: long non-coding RNA, 683 nt
Organism: Brassica oleracea var. oleracea
Lineage: Eukaryota; Viridiplantae; Streptophyta; Magnoliopsida; Brassicales; Brassicaceae
Exons: 3
Source: RefSeq, a predicted model, not a curated record
UUCAACCAUCUUCAUGUUUAGAUCUUGUUCUUCACUUUGCAGUCUCAUAGACUUUGCAAAUAGCCACCUUCUUUUCUCUCCUCUGUUUCUUCUACUUAGUACUUUUUGUUUUGGACGUUGCUGAAAAUAAGAGUUCUGCGGAUCCGAUGAUCUUCACCGCUAGUGAUGAAAAUCGGAUGAGACGGGUUUUGGUUGUGAUGUAAGCUGGUCAAGCGAGAUAUUAGUGCGGUUCAAUCAAAUAGUCGCACUCUUAGUAGAUAGAGAUUGAUUUUGUUCGAUUGAGCCGCGCCAAUAUCACGCAUAUAACCAAGAUGGUUAUUAACCUCAAAAGUAUAUUGUCAAUCAUCUUAAAGAGUGAUAGAGCUCAAGGUACUCAAGUGCAGGACGAUUCCAUGACCAGCCUUGCUUCAUCAGUGAUUUAAACCACUCUCUAUACCAAAGCCAAUAUCGCCCUGCAAGAAGAAGAAAAACAAGUCACACCGGUUAAAGUAAUGCUCCAAUCAACGAGAGUAUAAUUAUCCUUACACCUGCUGAGUACUAAUUACUGAAACGCUAAUACUGUAGGCUUUGUAGCACACCAAACUUGUAGACGUGCAUGGAGUCAUAUAGAAUAUAUUUAAAGAAUAUACUUUUGUUUGUGUGUUUAGCAUAGUCUUAAGAUAUUGAGUCUAAGUCCAUUUUGG